Molecule: small nuclear RNA, 191 nt
Organism: Suncus etruscus (white-toothed pygmy shrew)
Lineage: Eukaryota; Metazoa; Chordata; Mammalia; Eulipotyphla; Soricidae
Product: U2 spliceosomal RNA
Exons: 1
Source: RefSeq, a predicted model, not a curated record
AUCACUUCUAGACCUUUUAGCUAAGAUCAAGUGUAGUAUCUGUUCUUAUCAGUUUAAUAUCUGACACAUGCUCUAUCUGAGAACAAUAUAUUACAUAAAUUUUUGUAAUAGGGUAUUAGAAUAGGAACUGGCUCCAUCCACUCCAAGCAUCAACCUGGUAUUGCAGUGCUUCCAGAAAUGGUGUACAAAAA